This 642-nucleotide ribosomal RNA is filed under the name uncultured organism. RNAcentral's name for it is "SSU rRNA". It matches the Rfam family "Bacterial small subunit ribosomal RNA", at positions 163 to 782 of the family's 1533-position model. The record is from RNAcentral.
CUACUACCGCCUACGAUCUACUCUCGGCAUCGAGGAUGGAUGAAAGGUGGCUAGUAUUUAUUAUCUAUCACUGACCGAGGGGAGGGCGUCUGUUUAGCUAGUUGGAGGGGUAACGGCCCACCAAGGCGAUGAUCAGUAGCCGGUCUGAGAGGAUGAACGGCCACAUUGGGACUGAGACACGUCCCAGACUCCUACGGGAGGCAGCAGUGGGGAAUCUUCCGCAAUGGACGAAAGUCUGACGGAGCAACGCCGCGUGAGUGAUGACGGCGUUCGGGUUGUAAAGCUCUGUUAAUCGGGACGAAAGGCCUUCUUGUGAAUAGUUAGAAGGAUUGACGGUACCGGAAUAGAAAGCCACGGCUAACUACGUCCCAGCAGCCGCGGUAAUACGUAGGUGGCAAGCGUUGUCUGGAAUUAUUGGGCGUAAAGCGCGCGCGGGCGGAUUGGUCAGUCUGUUUUAAAAGUUCGGGGCUUAACCCCGUGAUGGGAUGGAAACUGCCAAUCUAGAGUAUCGGAGAGGAAAGUGGAAUUCCUAGUGUAGCGGUGAAAUGCGUAGAUAUUAGGAAGAACCCCCGUGGGGAAGGCGUCUUUCUGGACGAAAACUGACGCUGAGGCGCGAAAGCCAGGGGAGCGAACGGGAUUAGA